Molecule: transfer RNA, 85 nt
Filed under: Alphaproteobacteria bacterium
Lineage: Bacteria; Pseudomonadati; Pseudomonadota; Alphaproteobacteria
Also listed under: 1 other name
Description: tRNA-Leu
Rfam family: tRNA
About the family: Transfer RNA (tRNA) molecules are approximately 80 nucleotides in length. Their secondary structure includes four short double-helical elements and three loops (D, anti-codon, and T loops). Further hydrogen bonds mediate the characteristic L-shaped molecular structure. tRNAs have two regions of fundamental functional importance: the anti-codon, which is responsible for specific mRNA codon recognition, and the 3' end, to which the tRNAs corresponding amino acid is attached (by aminoacyl-tRNA synthetases). tRNAs cope with the degeneracy of the genetic code in two manners: having more than one tRNA (with a specific anti-codon) for a particular amino acid; and 'wobble' base-pairing, i.e. permitting non-standard base-pairing at the 3rd anti-codon position.
Source: RNAcentral
GGCCCCUUGGCGGAAUUGGUAGACGCACACGACUUAAAAUCGUGAGUCUUCGGACGUCCCGGUUCAAGUCCGGGAGGGGCCACCA